Molecule: unclassified non-coding RNA, 343 nt
Filed under: soil metagenome
Description: partial contains 5.8S ribosomal RNA, internal transcribed spacer 2, and large subunit ribosomal RNA
Rfam family: 5.8S ribosomal RNA (bases 1-120)
Source: RNAcentral
GAUGAAGAACGCAGCGAAAUGCGAUAAGUAAUGUGAAUUGCAGAAUUCAGUGAAUCAUCGAAUCUUUGAACGCACAUUGCGCCCGCUAGUAUUCUGGCGGGCAUGCCUGUCCGAGCGUCAUUUCAACCCUCAAGCCCCCGGGCUUGGUGUUGGGGUUCGGCGAGCCUCCGCGCCCGCCGUCCCCUAAAUCUAGUGGCGGUCUCGCUGUAGCUUCCUCUGCGUAGUAGCACACCUCGCACUGGGAAACAGCGCGGCCACGCCGUUAAACCCCCAACUUCUGAACGUUUGACCUCGGAUCAGGUAGGAAUACCCGCUGAACUUAAGCAUAUCAAUAAGCGGAGGA